RNAcentral lists this ribosomal RNA (404 nucleotides) under uncultured cyanobacterium. RNAcentral describes it as "bacterial SSU rRNA". It matches the Rfam family "Bacterial small subunit ribosomal RNA", at positions 355 to 776 of the family's 1533-position model. Lineage: Bacteria; Bacillati; Cyanobacteriota. The record is from RNAcentral.
UGAGGAAUUUUGCGCAAUGGGGGAAACCCUGACGCAGCGACGCCGCGUGGAGGAUGACGUCUUUCGGGAUGUAAACUCCUGUCAGUGGGAACGAUAAUGACGGUACCCACAGAGGAAGCACCGGCUAACUCCGUGCCAGCAGCCGCGGUAAGACGGAGGGUGCAAGCGUUGUUCGGAAUUACUGGGCGUAAAGCGUACGUAGGCGGUUGAUUAAGUCAAAUGUUAAAGCCCGGGGCUCAACCCCGAGGAUGCAUUUGAUACUGGUCGACUAGAGGGCGAUAGAGGAAAGCGGAAUUCCGAGUGUAGCGGUGAAAUGCGUAGAUAUUCGGAGGAACAUCGGUAGCGAAAGCGGCUUUCUGGGUCGCUCCUGACGCUGAGGUACGAAAGCGUGGGUAGCAAACGGG